Molecule: ribosomal RNA, 244 nt
Filed under: uncultured Actinomycetales bacterium
Lineage: Bacteria; Bacillati; Actinomycetota; Actinomycetes; Actinomycetales
Description: partial 16S ribosomal RNA
Rfam family: Bacterial small subunit ribosomal RNA
Source: RNAcentral
UGCUCGAGUGGCGAACGGGUGAGUAACACGUGGGUGAUCUGCCCUACACUUCGGGAUAAGCUUGGGAAACUGGGUCUAAUACCGGAUAGGACCAUCGUUUAGUGUCGGUGUUGGUAAAGUUUUUUCGGUGUGGGAUGAGCUCGCGGCCUAUCAGCUUGUUGGUGGGGUAAUGGCCUACCAAGGCGUCGACGGGUAGCCGGCCUGAGAGGGUGUACGGCCACAUUGGGACUGAGAUACGGCCCAG